GAUGAAGAACGCCAGCGAAAUGCGAUAAGUAAUGUGAAUUGCAGAAUUCAGUGAAUCAUCGAAUCUUUGAACGCACAUUGCGCCCUCUGGUAUUCCGGGGGGCAUGCCUGUUCGAGCGUCAUUAUAACCACUCAAGCUCUCGCUUGGUAUUGGGGUUCGCGGUUUCGCGGCCCCUAAAAUCAGUGGCGGUGCCUGUCGGCUCUACGCGUAGUAAUACUUCUCGCGAUUGAGUUCGAUAGGUCUACUUGCCAGUAACCCCCAAUUUUUACAGGUUGACCUCGGAUCAGGUAGGGAUACCCGCUGAACUUAAGCAUAUCAAUAAGCGGAGGA
Molecule: unclassified non-coding RNA, 330 nt
Filed under: soil metagenome
Description: partial contains 5.8S ribosomal RNA, internal transcribed spacer 2, and large subunit ribosomal RNA
Rfam family: 5.8S ribosomal RNA (bases 1-121)
Source: RNAcentral